GACGAACGCUGGCGGCGUGCUUAACACAUGCCAGUCGAACGAUGAAGCGGUGCUUGCACCGUGGAUUAGUGGCGAACGGGUGAGUAAUACGUGAGUGACCUACCUUUGACUCUGGGAUAAGCCUGGGAAACUGGGUCUAAUACCGGAUACGACCAAUCUCUGCAUGGGGUGUUGGUGGAAAGCGUUAUGGAGUGGUUUUAGAUGGGCUCACGGCCUAUCAGCUUGUUGGUGAGGUAAUGGCUUACCAAGGCGACGACGGGUAGCCGGCCUGAGAGGGUGACCGGCCACACUGGGAGUGGGACACGGCCCAGACUCCUACGGGGGGGAGCGGGGGGGAAUUUUGCCAAAGGGGCGCAAGCCUGAUGCAGGGACGCCGGGUGGGGGAUGACGGCCUUCGGGUUUAAAACCUCUUUUAGAAUCGAAGAAGCGAAAGUGACGGUAGGUGCAGAAAAAGCGCCGGCUAACUACGU
Molecule: ribosomal RNA, 470 nt
Filed under: uncultured bacterium
Lineage: Bacteria
Description: partial 16S ribosomal RNA
Rfam family: Bacterial small subunit ribosomal RNA
Source: RNAcentral